Non-coding RNA from Danio rerio (zebrafish), 102 nucleotides. NCBI's taxonomy places the organism in Eukaryota, Metazoa, Chordata, Actinopteri, Cypriniformes, Danionidae. The record is from Rfam.
UGCCACAGCCAUAUCACCCUGCAUCCCAAGCAGGCUAAGCAGGGCUGAGCCUGGUCAGUACUUGGAUGGAGACCACAUGGGUAAACUAGUUUGCUGUUGGAA